ACAACACAUAAUUAAAUAUAUAGGAUUUUUAAUCAACAUGGCAUUCAAGAUUCUUGUUUUCUUCUUCUGAAUUGUGAGUUGAUGAGUUUAUGUUAUC
Long non-coding RNA from Ipomoea nil (Japanese morning glory), 97 nucleotides. RefSeq lists it as uncharacterized. Lineage: Eukaryota; Viridiplantae; Streptophyta; Magnoliopsida; Solanales; Convolvulaceae. The transcript is spliced from 3 exons. The record is from RefSeq and is a predicted model, not a curated record.